GGUGGCUCAGUGGUAGAGUGCUUGACUUUCAUGCAUGAGACCCUGGGUUCGAUUCCUCAGCACCA
RNAcentral lists this transfer RNA (65 nucleotides) under Dipodomys ordii (Ord's kangaroo rat). It matches the Rfam family "tRNA". Rfam says of the family: Transfer RNA (tRNA) molecules are approximately 80 nucleotides in length. Their secondary structure includes four short double-helical elements and three loops (D, anti-codon, and T loops). Further hydrogen bonds mediate the characteristic L-shaped molecular structure. tRNAs have two regions of fundamental functional importance: the anti-codon, which is responsible for specific mRNA codon recognition, and the 3' end, to which the tRNAs corresponding amino acid is attached (by aminoacyl-tRNA synthetases). tRNAs cope with the degeneracy of the genetic code in two manners: having more than one tRNA (with a specific anti-codon) for a particular amino acid; and 'wobble' base-pairing, i.e. permitting non-standard base-pairing at the 3rd anti-codon position. The record is from Rfam by way of RNAcentral. Lineage: Eukaryota; Metazoa; Chordata; Mammalia; Rodentia; Heteromyidae.